AGAGUUGAUCCUGGCUUAGGAUGAACGCUAGCUACAGGCUUAACACAUGCAAGUCGAGGGGCAUCAUGGAGUUUGCUUGCAAACUCUGAUGGCGACCGGCGCACGGGUGAGUAACGCGUAUCCAACCUUCCCUAUAGUAGAGGAUAGCCCGGCGAAAGUCGGAUUAAUACUCUAUGUUUUCCGUUGCAGACAUCUAAGAUGGAACAAAGGCUUGCCGCUAUAGGAUGGGGAUGCGUCUGAUUAGGUAGUCGGCGGGGUAACGGCCCACCGAGCCAUCGAUCAGUAGGGGUUCUGAGAGGAAGGUCCCCCACAUUGGAACUGAGACACGGUCCAAACUCCUACGGGAGGCAGCAGUGAGGAAUAUUGGUCAAUGGGCGAGAGCCUGAACCAGCCAAGUAGCGUGCAGGACGACGGCCCUAUGGGUUGUAAACUGCUUUUAUGCGGGGAUAAAGUUCACUACGUGUAGUGUUUUGUAGGUACCGCAUGAAUAAGGACCGGCUAAUUCCGUGCCAGCAGCCGC
Molecule: ribosomal RNA, 520 nt
Filed under: uncultured bacterium
Lineage: Bacteria
Description: bacterial SSU rRNA
Rfam family: Bacterial small subunit ribosomal RNA
Source: RNAcentral